Long non-coding RNA from Cyprinus carpio carpio, 230 nucleotides. The record is from Ensembl. NCBI's taxonomy places the organism in Eukaryota, Metazoa, Chordata, Actinopteri, Cypriniformes, Cyprinidae.
UAAUGGAUUUAACCAUUUUGUUUGUAGGGUAAGCGACUGACAUGAACCUCCAUGAACCAAAAAAAAAAUGAACACCUACCUUGGUGAAUGGCGUGAAAUCUUAAGGCAACUGUGAAGGGUUUUUACAUUGUGAAUUCCGAGGCUGGCUGGGGGAUUGAACUUUUUCUGGGAUCUUGACCGUACCAGAAGAAGAGGAAUUAUCAGAUAACAACAAGCUUGCUGAUGACUUU